RNAcentral lists this non-coding RNA (117 nucleotides) under Anaerolineaceae bacterium. RNAcentral describes it as "SAM-I sequence". It matches the Rfam family "SAM riboswitch aptamer (S box leader)". From Rfam's summary of the family: The SAM riboswitch is found upstream of a number of genes which code for proteins involved in methionine or cysteine biosynthesis in Gram-positive bacteria. The SAM riboswitch acts at the level of transcription termination control. Lineage: Bacteria; Bacillati; Chloroflexota; Anaerolineae; Anaerolineales; Anaerolineaceae. The record is from RNAcentral.
CUCUUAUCCAGAGAGGCGGAGGGACCGGCCCUGUGAAGCCUCGGCAACCAGGUUGGUCAAGUAGUUAGACUAACCCAGGUGCCAAUUCCGGCAGAAGGUGUUUCUGGAAGAUGAGGG